RNAcentral lists this unclassified non-coding RNA (252 nucleotides) under uncultured fungus. Its description in RNAcentral is "sequence contains ITS1, 5.8S rRNA gene". The stretch from base 204 to 252 matches the Rfam family "5.8S ribosomal RNA", at positions 1 to 49 of the family's 154-position model. The record is from RNAcentral. Lineage: Eukaryota; Fungi.
UCUCCGUUGGUGAACCAGCGGAGGGAUCAUUACAGCGAGUCUCCCGACUCCCUCACCCCUGCGAACCAAACCUCUCGUUGCUUCUGCGGGCGGCCCCCCGUACGGGGGGCCACCGGCCCGCCCCUCCACGACGGGGCGCCCGCCAGAAGACCGACCAAACUCGUUUUUUUAGCGGCAUUCUGAGUCUAAAAACAAACUGUUAAAACUUUCAACAACGGAUCUCUUGGUUCUGGCAUCGAUGAAGAACGCAGC